RNAcentral lists this ribosomal RNA (346 nucleotides) under uncultured bacterium. Its description in RNAcentral is "bacterial SSU rRNA". It matches the Rfam family "Bacterial small subunit ribosomal RNA", at positions 29 to 404 of the family's 1533-position model. The record is from RNAcentral.
AGCGAACGCUGGCGGCAGGCCUAACACAUGCAAGUCGAACGGUCCUUCGGGACAGUGGCGGACGGGUGAGUAACACGUGGGAACGUGCCUUUAGGUUCGGGACAACCCAGGGAAACUUGGGCUAAUACCGGAUGUGCCCUUCGGGGGAAAGGAUUUAUCGCCUUUAGAGCGGCCCGCGUCUGAUUAGCUUGUUGGUGAGGUAAUGGCUCACCAAGGCUACGAUCAGUAGCUGGUCUGAGAGGAUGAUCAGCCACACCGGGACUGAGACACGCCCAGACUCCUACGGGAGGCAGCAGUGGGGAAUCUUGCGCAAUGGGCGAAAGCCUGACGCAGCCAUGCCGCGUGG